Drosophila obscura is the source of this 676-nucleotide long non-coding RNA. RefSeq lists it as uncharacterized. NCBI's taxonomy places the organism in Eukaryota, Metazoa, Arthropoda, Insecta, Diptera, Drosophilidae. The transcript has 3 exons. The record is from RefSeq and is a predicted model, not a curated record.
CGAGUUCUUUCCCCAGUUCUCAGCAUCCGAGCAACGUGAUUCACCCAGCAUAUGGAAGGUCUCUCCUGUGGGAUUCCGAGAGCUAUGCGACGCUCUUGUUCAAGGCGUUUUCGCUGGAUAACUGCCUCCUUGGCUCGGGCUUCAUUUAGUAGACGCUGCUGCUCAAAUGCAAUCUGCUCGCAGUGAAUUAAAGUUGGCAGCGGUUGCUGCUGUUGGGCUGCUGCUAUCUGCAAGAGCUGCUGUUGGAGCGGACGAACAUUUGGAUGAGUAAAAAGUGAUGUUGCAAUCCUGCUGCUAGACGUGUUAAAGAUGUCCUCUGCUGAGUCGAUGUUGUGUGCCUCUCGGAUGUCCUGGCUUCUGAUGUAUCUGCUGGCCAUUGCAAUCUUUCUCACGAGUCGGUUUUGCGUGCCUUCUAUCCUGCGGAAUUGAGAGUCACAUACCAAAGCUCCCCAAACAGCCGGCUCUGACUGCCUAUAAUCCAAUUCAACUUUAUGGCUGCUGUCCUCACUCUAUUCACCAGGCAGGAUACAUGUGCAUGCAGGACCAGCUUCCUGUCCAUUAUCAGGCCUAAGUAGCGGUGACUACGCUUAUUAACGAUAUGAGUAUCAUACAUUUUUGGUGACAGUUCGCUAAUUCCGUUUCCCAUUGAUUUCCUUGUGUAUAAUACAUGUAUCGU